AAUAAGAUUGAAGAUUAAUUCUUAAGCUGA
RNAcentral lists this non-coding RNA (30 nucleotides) under Cricetulus griseus (Chinese hamster). Lineage: Eukaryota; Metazoa; Chordata; Mammalia; Rodentia; Cricetidae. The record is from RNAcentral.